Molecule: long non-coding RNA, 240 nt
Organism: Haliotis rubra (blacklip abalone)
Lineage: Eukaryota; Metazoa; Mollusca; Gastropoda; Lepetellida; Haliotidae
Exons: 5
Source: RefSeq, a predicted model, not a curated record
CUCUGUUACAUUCCGUUUGUGGACAAAAGAUAAAUACAUGUUUUACAAUGUCAUAAGCCUGUGCCACAUAAGCAUUCUUUAGAUUGUAAAGCGAAAGUGCCGACACGGAUAAGGUAGAAUAUGUCAUAGAAAUAAUCUGAAUCAUUAAGAGCUAUUAACCAAAGUUUGUUACUAGCAGCUGGAUUGCGUAGGAGAGCGUAUCGGGCUUUAUUCUGAAGAAUCCGACCUUGUGAGAAAUUG